Molecule: ribosomal RNA, 417 nt
Filed under: Triticum aestivum (bread wheat)
Lineage: Eukaryota; Viridiplantae; Streptophyta; Magnoliopsida; Poales; Poaceae
Description: partial small subunit ribosomal RNA
Source: RNAcentral
AUGUUUGGCGCAGUUGGUGUGAUUUGCAGGGAUGAGAGGGGUUUGUUCAUGGGAGCUUCAGCCCUCGUUUUUAGGGGACUCCGCAGCCCCCAGGUGCUAGAAGCACUAGCUGUUCGGGAGGCACUAGCACUUUCAUAAGAUCUCUACAUCAACCAAAUACUGGUGGCCCCGGAUUGUAAGGUGGUGGUAGAUGCAAUCAUGCAAGGAAGCUCAGCAUACUUUGGAGCAAUUGUCCAAGAGAUCAAGGCUAGAGCAACUACCUUUAUUUCAUGUUCGUCUAAUCAUGAGUAUAGGACCUCCAACACGGAGGCCCAUAAUCUCACAAAGCAUGCUUUAUCUUUAGGGUUUGGCCGACACACCUGGCUAGGACAACCCGGCGAUCUUCUUUUUGUACCUAUGAACAUUCUGAUUCAGUAA